Molecule: ribosomal RNA, 469 nt
Filed under: uncultured bacterium
Lineage: Bacteria
Description: partial 16S ribosomal RNA
Rfam family: Bacterial small subunit ribosomal RNA
Source: RNAcentral
GACGAACGCUGGCGGCGUGCUUAACACAUGCAAGUCGAACGGAAAGGCCCUGCUUGCAGGGUGCUCGAGUGGCGAACGGGUGAGUAACACGUGGGUGAUCUGCCCCUUACUUUGGGAUAAGCCUGGGAAACUGGGUCUAAUACUGGAUAGGACCAUGCUGUAGGUGGUGUGGUGGAAAGAUUAGUUUCGGUAAGGGAUGAGCUCGCGGCCUAUCAGCUUGUUGGUGGGGUAAUGGCCUACCAAGGCGUCGACGGGUAGCCGGCCUGAGAGGGUGGACGGCCACAUUGGGACUGAGAUACGGCCCAGACUCCUACGGGAGGCAGCAGUGGGGAAUAUUGCACAAUGGGCGCAAGCCUGAUGCAGCGCCGCCGCGUGGGGGAUGACGGCCUUCGGGUUGUAAACUCCUUUCAGCCAUGACGAAGCCCUUGUGGUGACGGUAGUGGUAGAAGAAGCACCGGCUAACUACGUG